RNAcentral lists this small nuclear RNA (98 nucleotides) under Balearica regulorum gibbericeps (East African grey crowned-crane). RNAcentral's name for it is "Balearica pavonina gibbericeps U2 spliceosomal RNA". It matches the Rfam family "U2 spliceosomal RNA", at positions 1 to 120 of the family's 192-position model. Rfam says of the family: U2 is a small nuclear RNA (snRNA) component of the spliceosome (involved in pre-mRNA splicing). The record is from Rfam by way of RNAcentral. Lineage: Eukaryota; Metazoa; Chordata; Aves; Gruiformes; Gruidae.
GGAGCUUCUUGGCCUUUUGGCUAAGAUCAAGUGUGGUAUCAGUUCUUAUCAGUUUAAUAUCAGAUACUUAUUUUUUUCUUUUUGUGGUUGGACUGGCA